RNAcentral lists this ribosomal RNA (256 nucleotides) under uncultured bacterium. RNAcentral describes it as "partial 16S ribosomal RNA". It matches the Rfam family "Bacterial small subunit ribosomal RNA", at positions 524 to 776 of the family's 1533-position model. The record is from RNAcentral.
UACGUAGGGUGCAAGCGUUAAUCGGAAUUACUGGGCGUAAAGGGCUCGUAGGCGGCCAACUAAGUCGGAUGUGAAAUCCCCAGGCUUAACCUGGGAACUGCAUCCGAUACUGGAUGGCUUGAAUCCGGGAGAGGGAUGCAGAAUUCCAGGUGUAGCGGUGAAAUGCGUAGAUAUCUGGAGGAAUACCGGUGGCGAAGGCGGCGACUCCUGGACCGGCAUUGACGCUGAGUGAGCGAAAGCCAGGGGAGCAAACGGG